UGUCUCCCUCUCUCUCUGCUCCUCCCCCACUCACACUCUGUCUCUCUCUCAAAAAUAAAUAAAAACAUUCAAAUUAAAAAAAAUGAGUCAGACGCUUCACCAAGUGAACCACUUAGGUUUUGUUUAACAUAGAGCUUUCGGUGUCACCCCAGAUCAACUGGACCAGAAUCUCUUGGAAACUGUUUCUCUCCCUCCUACUCUUUCCUCUUAGAUGAUUCUGUAGUCUCUGUGGAGGUGAGGUUCCACAUGGCACAGGUAACCCUGUUGGUUUUCCUCUGCCUCCCCCAACAUGGCGUGCGUUGGGCCAGAGUCCCCUCCAGCCAAUGGUCAGGGAUAGCCAGGCGGCCGCUUCCUCCCAGGUGAGUGGUGGCUAGAAACUGAUUAUAAUUCCAAAGGCACAUUUGCACCUCCUGAAUUCUAACAACUGCCAACCUUUAUCCUCUCUCCCUGGACCAAUGCUUUGAAAGUGCCCACUUGCCUCAAGCCAUGUCAAACCCACAGCAUAAUAUCCAGCGUGGCAUUCCUCCCGGACUCACUUGUGGCUCCUCCUGCCGUAUCUGGUCAACAGCGUUCACCAGAGAAGGGAUAAUGGCUGAAGCCUCAUCUAGGGUGCAGUCAGCAAGCAGAGCUGUAUCUAAAUUGCGGUCUGCUACAUCUUGUUGGACAAGGGAGGGACCAGCUCCUUCUGGAUACAGAUGGGGUACACUCACUCUGCUGUGCUGGUGGACCGUCCUGGAGAGUGGGAUACAAGAUUACCCAAGCACACGCUUUUCUGUUCCCGACUGUUGUGGAUUUGAAAGUAUAUUCUUUUUUAAUACUAAAAUAUUUCUGGGACGAAUAGCUUAGCAACCAAUCGGUAUUUUCUAAGAUGGUCCUAAAUGACGCAAGCCAGUGCAUGAAAAUACCGACUCCGCAUUUUCUUAAAAACAAUCUUAGAUCACUGUCAUUUCAGAAAAAGUCUUGCCCAAAAAGUUGAAAUGGAGGAGAUUUUCCUAUCAUUGUACCAGUUUAGCGAAUGCAGGAACCGCAGUGGGCUGAAUGGUGCCCCCCUCCCCCAAAUCUGUCCAGGUCCUAAUGCCUCGAACCUGUGGAUUUGACCUUAUUGGGGAAAAGAGGUUUUGUCAAUGUAACUGAGUUAGGCUUAUUUUAGAUUAUCUGGUGGUCCCUAAAUCCAGUGACUAGUGUCCUCAUAAGUGUGAGGCAGAGGGAGGAGGGACACUGACAGUCACCAGAAACUGGAAAGGCAAAGGACGGAUCUUUCCCCCCAGUGCCUGGAAGCGUGACCCUGCCCAAGCGUGCUUUUGGACGUCUGACCUCUAGAACUUCCAGAGAAUGAAUUUUCUCUUGUUUCAAGUCACCCAGUUUGUGGCAAUUUAUUACAGGAGCCAUGGGAAACCGAUACAGAAACUGAACGUAUCCUAGGUACAGACCAGAAAGGGCUGAAACAGUAUGUGGGAAACCUUGGGAGGGGCUUGGGGAUACGACGGAGGUCCCCAGUAAUGGUAGAUGAAAACCAGACCGAGAGGGCAUUGGAGUCCUCAGUGGAGGGACGGACGCCCAUGUUGGGCACAGACCAAAGGCUGUGAUAGACUUCUCCCGCACAGCCACCAGCCUCAGAGCUCUUGCUGCCUACUCAGCUAGGAUCAAGUGAGGCAGCCGUGUUGCCUAGAUAUUUACAUCCACAUUUAGGCCUGAUUUCUGCCGAUUUGGUGAAAAAAAAUCUCUGAAAGAACACACACACCUGUAUUCAAGUUGUAUGUUCACAGGAGGAUGGUUUUAGCUCGGGUUCCAGUGUGUGAGCCUGUGUUCAGUAAAGUGUCACAAAAUUUUGCUGAAUGUCUCUUCUUUUCCAGUCCCUGCGCUGAGCCCUGGAGCUACGGAGUUGAUGAAGACGUGGUUUCCCCCUUAAGGUGUGCAUCGCAGUGCAGCAAUGGAGGGGACCACUCAGUGCAAUACGACCUCAGCUUCAGUCCCUCUUGCACUGAGUGGAUGUUGGAUCGAGCCCACAAGUCCCUUGCAAAUUUUAGAGCUCUGGAUCUGACCACAGAAGCACGAGAGUCCUCUGGGCACCCAUCACUGAAGGCAGAAUGUUCUGACCAUGACCCCUGUGCCCAGCACCGUGGUUGGAUGUGACCCGUGUGAAUCCUUCAUCAGUUCAAGAAUCACUGCAUUUUACCUGCCACACGACCCUCGUUUCUGCCAUCUGACAUGCCACUGCUCAGUGACCCAUGCCAGUCGGUAAGGAUCUGGUGAAAAUUAUUUACAAAAUGGGUGCUUUUGUAAAUUGCCAAUAGCUGUGAAAUUUGGUGCAAGCUUUUAGGGGAAAAAUAAAGUUGGAAAUGAAAUCAAGAA
Molecule: long non-coding RNA, 2352 nt
Organism: Felis catus (domestic cat)
Lineage: Eukaryota; Metazoa; Chordata; Mammalia; Carnivora; Felidae
Exons: 2
Source: RefSeq, a predicted model, not a curated record